RNAcentral lists this transfer RNA (72 nucleotides) under Marmota marmota marmota (Alpine marmot). It matches the Rfam family "tRNA". Rfam says of the family: Transfer RNA (tRNA) molecules are approximately 80 nucleotides in length. Their secondary structure includes four short double-helical elements and three loops (D, anti-codon, and T loops). The record is from Rfam by way of RNAcentral. Lineage: Eukaryota; Metazoa; Chordata; Mammalia; Rodentia; Sciuridae. RNAcentral also lists the same sequence under 2 other names.
UGGGUUGUAGCUCAGUGGUGGAGUACUUGCCUCCUGUGUGUGAGGCACUGGGUUUGAUCCUAAGCAUCCCAU